Molecule: ribosomal RNA, 563 nt
Filed under: Streptomyces sp. 413A06
Lineage: Bacteria; Bacillati; Actinomycetota; Actinomycetes; Kitasatosporales; Streptomycetaceae
Description: bacterial SSU rRNA
Rfam family: Bacterial small subunit ribosomal RNA
Source: RNAcentral
UAGUGGCGAACGGGUGAGUAACACGUGGGCAAUCUGCCCUUCACUCUGGGACAAGCCCUGGAAACGGGGUCUAAUACCGGAUAUCACUUCUGCUCGCAUGGGUGGGGGUUGAAAGCUCCGGCGGUGAAGGAUGAGCCCGCGGCCUAUCAGCUUGUUGGUGAGGUAGUGGCUCACCAAGGCGACGACGGGUAGCCGGCCUGAGAGGGCGACCGGCCACACUGGGACUGAGACACGGCCCAGACUCCUACGGGAGGCAGCAGUGGGGAAUAUUGCACAAUGGGCGGAAGCCUGAUGCAGCGACGCCGCGUGAGGGAUGACGGCCUUCGGGUUGUAAACCUCUUUCAGCAGGGAAGAAGCGUAAGUGACGGUACCUGCAGAAGAAGCGCCGGCUAACUACGUGCCAGCAGCCGCGGUAAUACGUAGGGCGCAAGCGUUGUCCGGAAUUAUUGGGCGUAAAGAGCUCGUAGGCGGCUUGUCACGUCGGGUGUGAAAGCCCGGGGCUUAACCCCGGGUCUGCAUUCGAUACGGGCUGGCUGGAGUGUGGUAGGGGAGAUCGGAUUNCU